CCUACGGGAGGCAGCAGUGGGGGAUAUUGCACAAUGGCGGAAACCCUGAUGCAGCGACGCCGCGUGAGCGAAGAAGUAGUUCGGUAUGUAAAGCUCUAUCAGCAGGGAAGAAGAAAUGACGGUACCUGAGUAAGAAGCACCGGCUAAAUACGUGCCAGCAGCCGCGUGAAUACGUAUGGUGCAAGCGUUAUCCGGAUUUACUGGGUGUACAGGGAGCGCUGGGGGCACGGCAAGCCUAUGGUGAAAGCUCGGGGCCAAACCGCGGGACUGCAGUGGGAACUGCCUGGCGGGAGUGCCGGAGAGGUAGGCGGAAUGCGUAGUGUAGCGGUGAAAUGCGUAGAUAUUAGGAGGAACACCAGUGGCGAAGGCGGCCUACUGGACGGUGACUGACGCUGAGGCUCGAAAGCGUGGGGAGCAAACAGGAUUAGAUACCCGAGUAGUC
RNAcentral lists this ribosomal RNA (442 nucleotides) under uncultured bacterium. RNAcentral describes it as "partial 16S ribosomal RNA". It matches the Rfam family "Bacterial small subunit ribosomal RNA", at positions 338 to 795 of the family's 1533-position model. The record is from RNAcentral.